GACGAACGCUGGCGGCGUGCCUAAUACAUGCAAGUAGAACGCUGAAGGAGGAGCUUGCUUCUCUGGAUGAGUUGCGAACGGGUGAGUAACGCGUAGGUAACCUGCCUGGUAGCGGGGGAUAACUAUUGGAAACGAUAGCUAAUACCGCAUAACAGUAGAUAUCGCAUGAUAUCUAUUUGAAAGGUGCAAUUGCAUCACUACCAGAUGGACCUGCGUUGUAUUAGCUAGUUGGUGAGGUAACGGCUCACCAAGGCGACGAUACAUAGCCGACCUGAGAGGGGGAGCGGCCACACUGGGACUGAGACACGGCCCAGACUCCUACGGGAGGCAGCAGUAGGGAAUCUUCGGCAAUGGACGGAAGUCUGACCGAGCAACGCCGCGUGAGUGAAGAAGGGUUUCGGAUCGUAAAGCUCUGUUGUAAGAGAAGAACGAGUGUGAGAGUGGAAAGUUCACACUGUGACGGUAUCUGACCAGAAAGGGACGGCUCACUACGUG
RNAcentral lists this ribosomal RNA (495 nucleotides) under uncultured bacterium. RNAcentral describes it as "partial 16S ribosomal RNA". It matches the Rfam family "Bacterial small subunit ribosomal RNA", at positions 28 to 507 of the family's 1533-position model. The record is from RNAcentral.